GGACUACUGGGGUAUCUAAUCCCGUUCGCUCCCCUAGCUUUCGCGCCUCAGCGUCAGAAGAGGUCCAGCACGUCGCUUUCGCCACCGGCGUUCCUUCCGAUAUCAACGCAUUUCACCGCUCCACCGGAAGUUCCACAUGCCCCUACCUCCCUCCAGCCCGCCAGUAUCGAAGGCACUUUUCCGGUUGAGCCGAAAGAUUUCACCCCCGACUUGGCGAGCCGCCUACGCGCCCUUUAAGCCCAGUGAUUCCGAACAACGUUUGCACGGUUCGUCUUACCGCGGCGGCUGGCAC
This 292-nucleotide ribosomal RNA is filed under the name uncultured bacterium. RNAcentral describes it as "partial 16S ribosomal RNA". RNAcentral also lists the same sequence under 2 other names. The record is from RNAcentral.